RNAcentral lists this transfer RNA (72 nucleotides) under Penaeus monodon (black tiger shrimp). RNAcentral's name for it is "tRNA-Gln". It matches the Rfam family "tRNA". From Rfam's summary of the family: Transfer RNA (tRNA) molecules are approximately 80 nucleotides in length. Their secondary structure includes four short double-helical elements and three loops (D, anti-codon, and T loops). Further hydrogen bonds mediate the characteristic L-shaped molecular structure. tRNAs have two regions of fundamental functional importance: the anti-codon, which is responsible for specific mRNA codon recognition, and the 3' end, to which the tRNAs corresponding amino acid is attached (by aminoacyl-tRNA synthetases). tRNAs cope with the degeneracy of the genetic code in two manners: having more than one tRNA (with a specific anti-codon) for a particular amino acid; and 'wobble' base-pairing, i.e. permitting non-standard base-pairing at the 3rd anti-codon position. Lineage: Eukaryota; Metazoa; Arthropoda; Malacostraca; Decapoda; Penaeidae. The record is from RNAcentral.
GGCUCCAUGGUGUAAUGGUUAGCACCCUGGACUUUGAAUCCAGAGAUCCGAGUUCGAGUCUCGGUGGGACCU